This 449-nucleotide ribosomal RNA is filed under the name uncultured bacterium. Its description in RNAcentral is "partial 16S ribosomal RNA". It matches the Rfam family "Bacterial small subunit ribosomal RNA", at positions 29 to 523 of the family's 1533-position model. The record is from RNAcentral.
AGCGAACGCUGGCGGCAGGCUUAACACAUGCAAGUCGAGCGGGCCCUUCGGGGUCAGCGGCGGACGGGUGAGUAACGCGUGGGAACGUGCCUUCUGGUUCGGAAUAACCCUGGGAAGCUAGGGCUAAUACCGGAUACGCCCUUUUGGGGAAAGGUUUACUGCCGGAAGAUCGGCCCGCGUCUGAUUAGCGAGUUGGUGGGGGAACGGCCUACCAAGGCGACGAUCAGUAGCUGGUCUGAGAGGAUGAUGAGCCACACUGGGACGGAGACACGGCCCAGACUCCUAAGGGAGGCAACAGUGGGGAAUAUGGGACAAUGGGCGCAAGCCUGAUCCAGCCAUGCCGCGUGAGGGAUGAAGGCCUUAGGGUUGUAAAGCUCUUUUAUCCGGUACGAUAAUGACGGUACCGGAGGAAUAAGCCCCGGCUAACUUCGUGCCAGCCGCCGCCGUAA